RNAcentral lists this ribosomal RNA (497 nucleotides) under uncultured bacterium. RNAcentral describes it as "partial 16S ribosomal RNA". It matches the Rfam family "Bacterial small subunit ribosomal RNA", at positions 28 to 507 of the family's 1533-position model. The record is from RNAcentral.
GACGAACGCUGGCGGCGUGCCUAAUACAUGCAAGUUGAGCGCUGAAGGUUGGUACUUGUACCCACUGGAUGAGCAGCGAACGGGUGAGUAACGCGUGGGGAAUCUGCCUUUGAGCGGGGGACAACAUUUGGAAACGAAUGCUAAUACCGCAUAAAAACUUUAAACACAAGUUUUAAGUUUGAAAGAUGCAAUUGCAUCACUCAAAGAUGAUCCCGCGUUGUAUUAGCUAGUUGGUGAGGUAAAGGCUCACCAAGGCGAUGAUACAUAGCCGACCUGAGAGGGUGAUCGGCCACAUUGGGACUGAGACACGGCCCAAACUCCUACGGGAGGCAGCAGUAGGGAAUCUUCGGCAAUAGACGAAAGUCUGACCGAGCAACGCCGCGUGAGUGAAGAAGGUUUUCGGAUCGUAAAACUCUGUUGGUAGAGAAGAACGUUGGUGAGAGUGGAAAGCUCAUCAAGUGACGGUAACUACACAGAAAGGGACGGCUAACUACGUG